CCCCAUUCCAUGGCAUUAGGGAGGCGGAAGGGAACUCCCUUUCUGCUUCCUGGAAUCCAGGCUGGCUUGGUGACUUGCCGACCACAGAACGCUGUGGAAGGGACAUUCUGGGGCUUCCCAUCUCCAACAUAAGAAGGCAGGACUUGCUUCUGUGAGGUACUGAGCCACCCGUCCCUGGAGGAAAGCAAGAACAGAGCAGAUCAGAGCCCAGGCAGACAUCUUGGAUGAUGGGGUACAUCUUGCCAUCCAGAGGCAAUGCUGGAGCGGGCAGUUGUCUGCGGGGAGGCCCUGGCUCACUCUGGGCCAAAUAACAGGACUGAUUGCAGCCUGCGAUGAAACAUCCUGUUUCUCCCAACCAGAAACAGGUAGAGGAGCUGCUUUAGGAUGGAAGAUGAGGCUUGCUUUUUCUUUCUCCUAGAAGUCAGCAUUUUACAUGAUUCUGGGAGGGAAGAAAGGAGACAGGAACCAAGGAGCCUGAGUGGGGAUUUGCCCACCACUGGGCAGCCAGGCUCCCGUCAGGAAGGCUUUUCAGAGGGAGUGUUGGAAGGAGUCGUCGAGGAGUCUUCCUCACCCAGGAAGUCUUCCUCACCGGGUGAGCCCCAACCUGCUGGACCUGCUCAGAAUUUGCCCAACAGGGGAUCCUGGUUGACUGAGGUCUGCUAAUUCCAACUGGCCUACGCUAAAUUCUCCCAGAAUGUCUUCAUCAUCAAUGAAUCGCUUUCCACUGACACGACGCCUGGAAGAACAUAAACACUGUGAGGAUAAAUGCCAAUGAAAUAAUAAUAAAAUAAACUUUCUUUGGUGGCCAGAGGGAAACAGAAUGCCUACCCAUUUCCCCACCCCCCGCCCCGCCGCUGCCCCUUGCAGGAUUUCUUUUAGAAAACUAGUAUUUGUAAAUCAUUUUCCUACCUAUUGGAGAUGAGUGCCAACCUUUUUAAAGGCCAAGUGAGCCUCUUUUUUUAAUACUCUAGGAAUGCGUCUUGGAGGGGUUGCAGUCAUCUUUUUGGGAUCUGAACAUUCAUUCACAGCUGUCAGCUUAUGUCCUUGUAUCUGACGGCACUGACCUAGGUGCAUGGCUGCCAGAAGUAACUUCCUGCUUGUCACAAAAAUGCAAUCUCCUGCCUGCCCCUGAUUCUCCCCAGCCCUGGCUUUGGAUAAAGACAAUUAAUAUGAACGUGAUGAAUUGCGUCUCUCUGGCUAUGUAAAAAAGGGAUAUUUAUUUCCACUUUUGACUCUAAAACUUUGAGUUUGUUUGUUAACAUGGCAAAACAAUUCUUUCUGAUCAAAUCAUCUACACACAGGUGCACUCAGGUAUCUUACAAAAAUGGAUUCAUGAACACUUAAUGCUUUUAAUCAGCUUUGUUUCCCAAUGAAGUAUCUCCUAGACACAUUUUCUAUUUACUUCUUGAUUCAUUUACAUAUUUAUUUAUAAAAUAUUAUUGAACAAGAUUAUUAAAGAUGAUGGUGAAAUAACAGUAAAUAAAGAAACCAAUGACAAUUCCAGUUGAUCCAGGCAGUCGUUUAAAAAUGUAUUCACCCAGACUCUUGUCAUCUUGUUUGCAGAUUGUCGUUGGAAAUGCAUUUUGCCCAACUUUUUUAUUCUUAAGGGAAAAACUAUAAAAAGAAAGCUGCUCAUGAUUUGGAUUCUUUCAGAUAUAAGUUUUACUUUGACAUAGAUUCAUGUUAACUCAAGAAAUAAAUUCACA
Molecule: long non-coding RNA, 1706 nt
Filed under: Homo sapiens (human)
Lineage: Eukaryota; Metazoa; Chordata; Mammalia; Primates; Hominidae
Description: HSALNT0197241
Source: RNAcentral